Long non-coding RNA from Hippocampus comes (tiger tail seahorse), 873 nucleotides. RefSeq lists it as uncharacterized. The transcript is spliced from 2 exons. NCBI's taxonomy places the organism in Eukaryota, Metazoa, Chordata, Actinopteri, Syngnathiformes, Syngnathidae. The record is from RefSeq and is a predicted model, not a curated record.
AUUAAAACACAGAGCAGUACAUUUAGAACGAAGAACCACUCUUCCAGCCUUUCAACUGUUUUGCCACUAAAAUAAUGACAAUCGAUGGCAGCACACGUUCUGGUCAAACACAAUCUCGAGUUUCACCAACAAACACGCUUACAAUACAAAGAAUAACAAUAUUGAGUGGCAGAGGUUAUUUCGAGCACCGAUCAUUUUAGGCUGAAUGCAUAUUAGGUAAACUUCAGUAUAUGCAGGGUGUCCCAUAAGUCUCCAUACAUAGGAAAAUAAACAUUUCUUGACAUGAACCAUACGACUGCUUCCCGAACCACCCAUCAGGAUGAUUUCAAUUUAUUGCUCUUUAUUCAAAUGCAUUCUCUGGGUUAUCUGAAAUAUAAAGAAAUAAAUGUUAGAACCAUGUAUAUAUGGAAUGUAUUUUUUCUCAUAUGUAUGGAGACUUAUGGGACACCCUGUAGUUCCUCUUUUUACUUACAAAGUAACAACAAUGUUGUAAGUAUAUAUAAAUAUAUUGAUUAUUGGCUGGAGACCACUCGAGUUUGUACUCCACCAUUCCCACAGCUGUGCCCCUAAUGAGGACACGUGGUAUAAAAAAAGUGGAUGGAUAUACAGUAUAGUAUACUUAAGAAAGUGAUCCAAAAGCAUCACUGCGGUUAUAUGCAGAUAUGUUUGUUUCACAUUGAAUAACUGCUCUGUAUUCUAUGCAUAUAAAUGCAUUUUAAUUUUAAGAAUUUAUUUUGGAUUGAUAUGCUCGAAAACAAACAUAAUCUUGCGGUGUGCUGAUUGCCGUCACCACUGUGGGGUGCAAAUCUGAAAUUAUUUUAAUUUCAGGGAUUGAGCUUCAUUUAAUGUGCAACAGAGGUACUUAAAUAGGGG